GACGAACGCUGGCGGCGUGCUUAACACAUGCAAGUCGAACGGAAAGGCCCUGCUCUUGCGGGGUGCUCGAGUGGCGAACGGGUGAGUAACACGCGAGUAAACUGUCCUUGACUUUGGGAUAACUUCAGGAAACUGGGGCUAAUAUCGGAUAGGAGAUCUUGCUGCACGGUGGGGGUUGGAAAGUUUCGGCGGUUGGGGAUGGACUGGUGGCGUAUCGGCUUGUUGGUGGGGUGGUGGCUUACCAAGGCUUCGACGGGUAGCCGGCCUGAGAGGGUGACCGGCGGCAUUGGGACUGAGGGACGGCAGAAGCAGCUACUGGAGGCAGCAGUGGGAAAGAUUGAAGGAUGGACGGAGGCCUAGUGCAGCAGCUCCUCGUGCGGUAUGACUGCCUUAGGGGUGUAGACCACUUGCGCCAGUGACGAAGCGUGAGUGACGGUAAUGGGUAAAGAAGCACCGGGUAACUACGUG
This 468-nucleotide ribosomal RNA is filed under the name uncultured bacterium. Its description in RNAcentral is "partial 16S ribosomal RNA". It matches the Rfam family "Bacterial small subunit ribosomal RNA", at positions 28 to 507 of the family's 1533-position model. The record is from RNAcentral.